AGCGUUCUGUAAGCCUGUGAAGGUGUACUGUGAGGUAUGCUGGAGGUAUCAGAAGUGCGAAUGCUGACAUAAGUAACGAUAAAGCGGGUGAAAAGCCCGCUCGCCGGAAGACCAAGGGUUCCUGUCCAACGUUAAUCGGGGCAGGGUGAGUCGACCCCUAAGGCGAGGCCGAAAGGCGUAGUCGAUGGGAAACAGGUUAAUAUUCCUGUACUUGGUGUUACUGCGAAGGGGGGACGGAGAAGGCUAUGUUGGCCGGGCGACGGUUGUCCCGGUUUAAGCGUGUAGGCUGGUUUUCCAGGCAAAUCCGGAAAAUCAAGGCUGAGGCGUGAUGACGAGGCACUACGGUGCUGAAGCAACAAAUGCCCUGCUUCCAGGAAAAGCCUCUAAGCAUCAGGUAACAUCAAAUCGUACCCCAAACCGACACAGGUGGUCAGGUAGAGAAUACCAAGGCGCUUGAGAGAACUCGGGUGAAGGAACUAGGCAAAAUGGUGCCGUAACUUCGGGAGAAGGCACGCUGAUAUGUAGGUGAAGUCCCUCGCGGAUGGAGCUGAAAUCAGUCGAAGAUAC
This 567-nucleotide ribosomal RNA is filed under the name Escherichia coli. RNAcentral's name for it is "partial 23S ribosomal RNA". It matches the Rfam family "Bacterial large subunit ribosomal RNA", at positions 1235 to 1786 of the family's 2925-position model. Lineage: Bacteria; Pseudomonadati; Pseudomonadota; Gammaproteobacteria; Enterobacterales; Enterobacteriaceae. The record is from RNAcentral.